Molecule: ribosomal RNA, 490 nt
Filed under: uncultured bacterium
Lineage: Bacteria
Description: partial 16S ribosomal RNA
Rfam family: Bacterial small subunit ribosomal RNA
Source: RNAcentral
AUUGAACGCUGGCGGCAGGCCUAACACAUGCAAGUCGAACGGUAACAGGAAGAAGCUUGCUUCUUUGCUGACGAGUGGCGGACGGGUGAGUAAUGUCUGGGAAACUGCCUGAUGGAGGGGGAUAACUACUGGAAACGGUAGCUAAUACCGCAUAACGUCGCAAGACCAAAGAGGGGGACCUUCGGGUCUCUUGCCAUCGGAUGUGCCCAGAUGGGAUUAGCUAGUAGGUGGGGUAACGGCUCACCUAGGCGACGAUCCCUAGCUGGUCUGAGAGGAUGACCAGCCACACUGGAACUGAGACACGGUCCAGACUCCUACGGGAGGCAGCAGUGGGGAAUAUUGCACAAUGGGCGCAAGCCUGAUGCAGCCAUGCCGCGUGUAUGAAGAAGGCCUUCGGGUUGUAAAGUACUUUCAGCGGGGAGGAAGGGAGUAAAGUUAAUACCUUUGCUCAUUGACGUUACCCGCAGAAGAAGCACCGGCUAACUCCGUG